UUGUUGUUCACUUGGGACUUCCUCUGUUAUUUCAAAUGAUGUCAUACCCUAUAUUCAAAAUCAUAAAAUUUGAAUGAAAUUCAUUGUUAAAAUUAGAGAAGGAAAUUGUUUUACACAAUGAUAGUUGCAAGGUAAUUGAUCUUUAUAUAUUAGUACACAAAUAUUAAGAAACAGUACUUUAGUUGGAAGAUACUCAAGUACUUAUAGGUAAGUACUAUGGAUAAACAGCUUAGUUAAGUACUUAUAGCAUAAACACUUAUCAUAUACAUGAGUGUUUAUGCCUAAGCUAUUCUAUAAUAAAGGAUAGGAUAAAGUCAUCAAAUUGCUUUUAUAUAAGCUAUAAGUUAUUUUUAUAAACUAUAGUGAAAAACUUAUGAAAAUUAAAUAAGCAAAAAAUAUUUUAUGAAGUUGUUUCCAUGAGUUCUUUCAAAAUAUUAAUCUCACAAGUGUCUAUGUCAGUAGAUAAGUUCAAAUAAGUUAAUCCAAAAUAAAUCCUUAAUCAAUUGAACGUAUCUUCAAUGAAAUCAUCUAUUGUUGGAAGUUUUCAUAAUUUUUGCUGGGAGUUCUAAUGCNNN
This 575-nucleotide long non-coding RNA is filed under the name Trifolium pratense (red clover). RNAcentral describes it as "long non-coding RNA (TPRA_LNC004951)". The record is from RNAcentral. Lineage: Eukaryota; Viridiplantae; Streptophyta; Magnoliopsida; Fabales; Fabaceae.